GAACAUAAGAGUUUGAUCCUGGCUCAGAUUGAACGCUGGCGGCAUGCUUUACACAUGCAAGUCGGACGGCAGCACAGGGAAGCUUGCUUCUCGGGUGGCGAGUGGCGAACGGGUGAGUAACAUAUCGGAACGUACCGGGUAGCGGGGGAUAACUGAUCGAAAGAUCAGCUAAUACCGCAUACGUCUUGAGAGGGAAAGCAGGGGACCUUCGGGCCUUGCGCUAUCCGAGCGGCCGAUAUCUGAUUAGCUGGUUGGCGGGGUAAAGGCCCACCAAGGCGACGAUCAGUAGCGGGUCUGAGAGGAUGAUCCGCCACACUGGGACUGAGACACGGCCCAGACUCCUACGGGAGGCAGCAGUGGGGAAUUUUGGACAAUGGGCGCAAGCCUGAUCCAGCCAUGCCGCGUGUCUGAAGAAGGCCUUCGGGUUGUAAAGGACUUUUGUCAGGGAAGAAAAGGCCGUUGCCAAUAUCGGCGGCCGAUGACGGUACCUGAAGAAUAAGCACCGGCUAACUACGUGCCAGCAGCCGCGGUAAUACGUAGGGUGCGAGCGUUAAUCGGAAUUACUGGGCGUAAAGCGGGCGCAGACGGUUACUUAAGCAGGAUGUGAAAUCCCCGGGCUCAACCCGGGAACUGCGUUCUGAACUGGGUGACUCGAGUGUGUCAGAGGGAGGUGGAAUUCCACGUGUAGCAGUGAAAUGCGUAGAGAUGUGGAGGAAUACCGAUGGCGAAGGCAGCCUCCUGGGAUAACACUGACGUUCAUGUCCGAAAGCGUGGGUAGCAAACAGGAUUAGAUACCCUGGUAGUCCACGCCCUAAACGAUGUCAAUUAGCUGUUGGGCAACUUGAUUGCUUGGUAGCGUAGCUAACGCGUGAAAUUGACCGCCUGGGGAGUACGGUCGCAAGAUUAAAACUCAAAGGAAUUGACGGGGACCCGCACAAGCGGUGGAUGAUGUGGAUUAAUUCGAUGCAACGCGAAGAACCUUACCUGGUUUUGACAUGUGCGGAAUCCUCCGGAGACGGAGGAGUGCCUUCGGGAGCCGUAACACAGGUGCUGCAUGGCUGUCGUCAGCUCGUGUCGUGAGAUGUUGGGUUAAGUCCCGCAACGAGCGCAACCCUUGUCAUUAGUUGCCAUCAUUCGGUUGGGCACUCUAAUGAGACUGCCGGUGACAAGCCGGAGGAAGGUGGGGAUGACGUCAAGUCCUCAUGGCCCUUAUGACCAGGGCUUCACACGUCAUACAAUGGUCGGUACAGAGGGUAGCCAAGCCGCGAGGCGGAGCCAAUCUCACAAAACCGAUCGUAGUCCGGAUUGCACUCUGCAACUCGAGUGCAUGAAGUCGGAAUCGCUAGUAAUCGCAGGUCAGCAUACUGCGGUGAAUACGUUCCCGGGUCUUGUACACACCGCCCGUCACACCAUGGGAGUGGGGGAUACCAGAAGUAGGUAGGGUAACCGCAAGGAGCCCGCUUACCACGGUAUGCUUCAUGACUGGGGUGAAGUCGUAACAAGGUAGCCGUAGGGGAACCUGCGGCUGGAUCACCUCCUUU
Molecule: ribosomal RNA, 1541 nt
Filed under: Neisseria gonorrhoeae
Lineage: Bacteria; Pseudomonadati; Pseudomonadota; Betaproteobacteria; Neisseriales; Neisseriaceae
Also listed under: 2 other names
Description: bacterial SSU rRNA
Rfam family: Bacterial small subunit ribosomal RNA
Source: RNAcentral